Molecule: long non-coding RNA, 1989 nt
Organism: Betta splendens (Siamese fighting fish)
Lineage: Eukaryota; Metazoa; Chordata; Actinopteri; Anabantiformes; Osphronemidae
Exons: 2
Source: RefSeq, a predicted model, not a curated record
UCCCGUCUCACUCCCGUUCCGCCUCGGCGGAGUCGAGGCAAAGUUCAAGGCCGCCAGGCAGCCUCUAAUCUACCGGGGGGGGGAAGGAGUGACACGCUGUAGAAUCAUGCAAAUACACCUGCAUGAAAAAUUCAGCAACCAAACGACAAGCCUCGCUCGGCGUGUCGACGCUGACAGGGGGAGGAAGCGAGGCACGUCCCGGGGAAAAAAAACAUGGCCCUCCGCGGAGGGUUGUGAAAGCGCCGUCUCCGCCUGCCGCCUCAGGUAAGCGGGGAUAGCGCCUGACUUAAUGCGGCCCGGCUUCGAUGCCGGGGGGCGGAAAAGAGCCCGAGAGCCAGGGGAGACGGCGGCAGACGCUAAAGAGCCACCGCUCCCCGGCGUUUAAGGAACACUGGUUGUACAAACGCCGGCUGGGACGCGUUUAUCUGAACAUCAGCCCCGCUGGCGGCGGCGGAAACAGGCUCCGACACGACGCCGCUCUGAACGCAGCCACUUUGUAGUCGCUCGGCUGGGAACCUGACGUUUCCGUUCACCCCGAUGUCCCUCUCGACGACGCCUCCCGCCGCAGUCUGUGGGAGAAUCAUCAGCCGCUCGACCUCAAGCGGGAGCCGUCCUCAUGCCGGAUCCUGUGAGACCUUGGCCUGCCUUACAAAAAACCCCAGGACAGAGAAACCAUUGAUUACCGCUCCCGUUCCCUCGGCUCAGCCUUCACAAAAUCCGGGCCCCUAAAUCGGACAAUUCCAGCUCCAGACCUCCCCUCGCUCCCUGCCUUCGCUAUCAUGUGCAUGUUCCCGUAUGCAUGUGAUGUCGCUGACCUCCCAUAAGUCCCCGCUUCGCAUGCUGUGCGCGCACAAGCCCCCUUGUUCGUGUCCUAACCCCGGCGCCGAUGAGAUGCGGCGGGCCUCUGUUUGACUCCCAUCUCGUGACCUUCUGGUCCUUUCCUCAACAGACGGGAGCCCUCAUAAUGGAGGAAUUGAUCCACGCCAGACCCGCCUCCUGGACGUGCGCGUGUUUGUGCGCAUCCGCCGCCCCCCCCCCGGGUCUCGAGGCCGCGCUCACUCCGGACGCGCUUCGUCCACGUCGCGUGCCGUCCACAACCCGUCAGCCUCCUGCAGGACGUGUGGGAACCGGGAACCAGACUCGUUCUCUUCAGCUGCUGCCGGAGAGUGCGGCCUUUCCUCGGCGGGAGGGUAAAUUAAGGUUAUGAGGUCGUGUUUAAGUUCAUAUUUCCCUCGAGUGUGAGAGAGGAGAGCAAGGACAUGGGACAUUGAUCGCCCUGAGUAAAUGUUGUCCACUUGGAAAACAGGGCUUAGAUGAGAAAGGUAUUUGUCUUACAACCAGCGCCCGGGCCUCAUCUCUGGCAGGUAUUAGAGAAAUGUCUUGGUUUCUUAAUUGGUGGGUUUAUUCUGUGAAAUUUGAUGAGCUUGACGUCAUGGCAACACAAACCCCAUCGAAAGAAAUAAUGCAAAGCUACAGUAAGUGUGGUAUUUGUCUAGUAUCACAAAUGUCACAUCACCGGUGGUAGUAAUAAAGAAAUACCCGCGGCGCUAUUAACUCCUUCCUGAUUGGUUAAGAGAACUUAUGAGAACAAUAUGAGUCAGUCCUUUGAAAAGUCACUGGGGUUCUUAGGGAGUGACCUUUCGGAACCUCUCCGCUCUUCGGCAGUGACUGGAACUUAAUGAACAGGGGCACCUCUGCGGAUCCGAUGGAUCCACGGGAGCGGUGCUGCAGCCGCCGACCGUCCCGGGAGGUGGAGCACUUCAGUGGCGGGUUCGAUAGCUCAUUAUCAGCGGCCCCGCGGGAUAAUUAGCGAGCAGUGGGAUUCUGUCACGGGGACAAAUAAACACACGCUCUCUUUCUUCAUCGAGCAAACGCGGCUGCAGCAGCGUCCGACCGACUCAGUGCGACAGGUUGCUGCUGAACUCAAUGCGGCGCCCGUCGUCUGCUGUGUUUGUCACAAUAAAUAUUUUAUGAAAGUCGAAUUAAAAA